AUACGUAGGGAGCGAGCGUUGUCCGGAAUUACUGGGCGUAAAGGGUGCGUAGGUGGCGCUGCAAGUCAGAUGUGAAAUCCCCGGGCUUAACUCGGGGGGUGCAUUUGAAACUGCAGUGCUUGAGUGCAGGAGAGGAAAGCGGAAUUCCUAGUGUAGCGGUGAAAUGCGUAGAUAUUAGGAAGAACACCAGUGGCGAAGGCGGCUUUCUGGACUGUAACUGACGCUGAUGCACGAAAGCGUGGGGAGCAAACAGGAUUAGAUACCCUGGUAGUCCACGCUGUAAACGAUGGAUACUAGGUGUGGGGGACAUACAACCUCUGUGCCGAAGCAAACGCAUUAAGUAUCCCGCCUGGGGAGUACGGUCGCAAGACUGAA
Molecule: ribosomal RNA, 375 nt
Filed under: uncultured bacterium
Lineage: Bacteria
Description: bacterial SSU rRNA
Rfam family: Bacterial small subunit ribosomal RNA
Source: RNAcentral